Molecule: ribosomal RNA, 607 nt
Filed under: Pochonia chlamydosporia var. ellipsospora
Lineage: Eukaryota; Fungi; Ascomycota; Sordariomycetes; Hypocreales; Clavicipitaceae
Description: eukaryotic LSU rRNA
Rfam family: Eukaryotic large subunit ribosomal RNA
Source: RNAcentral
GAUUUUAAUAAACGGGAGAAAAGAAACCAACAGGGAUUGCCCCCGUAACCGCGAGGGAAGCGGCAACAAGUCAAAUUUGAAAUUUGGCCCCUAGGGCCCGAGUUGUAAUUUGCAGAGGAUGCUUUUGGCGAGGUGCCUUCCGAGUUCCCUGGAACGGGACGCCAUAGAGGGUGAGAGCCCCGUCUGGUUGGAUGCCGAGCCUCUGUAAAGCUCCUUCGACGAGUCGAGUAGUUUGGGAAUGCUGCUCUAAAUGGGAGGUAUAUGUCUUCUAAAGCUAAAUACCGGCCAGAGACCGAUAGCGCACAAGUAGAGUGAUCGAAAGAUGAAAAGCACUUUGAAAAGAGGGUUAAAUAGUACGUGAAAUUGUUGAAAGGGAAGCACUUAUGACCAGACUUGGACCCGGUGAAUCAUCCAGCGUUCUCGCUGGUGCACUUUGCCGGGCUCAGGCCAGCAUCAGUUUGCCCCGGGGGAUAAAGGCUUUGGGAAUGUGGCUCCCUCGGGAGUGUUAUAGCCCAUUGCACAAUACCCUGGGGCGGACUGAGGUUCGCGCAUCUGCAAGGAUGCUGGCGUAAUGGUCAUCAGUGACCCGUCUUGAAACACGGACCCA